RNAcentral lists this ribosomal RNA (253 nucleotides) under uncultured bacterium. RNAcentral describes it as "partial 16S ribosomal RNA". It matches the Rfam family "Bacterial small subunit ribosomal RNA", at positions 524 to 776 of the family's 1533-position model. The record is from RNAcentral.
UACGGAGGGUGCAAGCGUUAUCCGGCUUUACUGGGUUUAAAGGGUGCGUAGGUGGAUUAGUAAGUCAGUGGUGAAAUCUCCGGGCUUAACCCGGCAACUGCCAUUGAUACUAUUAGUCUUGAAUAUCCUGGAGGUGAGCGGAAUAUGUCAUGUAGCGGUGAAAUGCUGAGAUAUGACAUAGAACAACAAUUGCGAAGGCAGCUCACUACGGGAUUAUUGACACUGAGGCACGAAAGCGUGGGGAGCAAACAGG